CGUGUAGGCGGCCAGAAAAGUCCGCUGUGAAAACUCGAGGCUCAACUUCGAGCUGUCGGUGGAAACUUCCUGGCUAGAGUCCGGAAGAGGAGAAUGGAAUUCCUGGUGUAGCGGUGAAAUGCGCAGAUAUCAGGAAGAACACCCGUGGCGAAGGCGGUUCUCUGGGACGGUACUGACGCUGAGACGCGAAAGCGUGGGGAGCGAACA
This 207-nucleotide ribosomal RNA is filed under the name uncultured bacterium. RNAcentral's name for it is "partial 16S ribosomal RNA". It matches the Rfam family "Bacterial small subunit ribosomal RNA", at positions 568 to 774 of the family's 1533-position model. The record is from RNAcentral.